ACAAACUCAACAAGUUUUAGAAGUGCGGAGUAUUUGAGGUUACCUUAAUUUCCAUCAAUGUGAUACUUGUAUUGUUUGUAUUAUUUUUACUGAAUAGGUUGUAAAGGGGUUUACUUUGACGUGAUCAUAUUAAUUCAAAGUAUUACAACUUUAAUAUCUGUGUAAUGGAAGGCAAAGACCUUAUUUGUAUACCAGGUCAGCGGCUCUGUCUAGCAGGACAGCACACAUUCUGUGGGCUCCGGCACAUAUGAGCGCCAAGGAUACAUUUACUCUUCACAAACCGGUGUUGUUCAUGUUAUCAAGCAAGAGAAGGGAAACAUCAUUGAAGUAA
Molecule: long non-coding RNA, 331 nt
Organism: Homalodisca vitripennis (glassy-winged sharpshooter)
Lineage: Eukaryota; Metazoa; Arthropoda; Insecta; Hemiptera; Cicadellidae
Exons: 3
Source: RefSeq, a predicted model, not a curated record